UUAACUGCAAGUGAAGCUGCAGAGCAGCUCGACAGCCAAACACCCUACAGCUGUCAGCAGUGUCCAGCCCACAGUCCCUGGGGGUCUUGCAGGGUCAGCAGGCUCUGCAUAGUUGUGGGAAAUGGAAAAAUAGAAACUUCCACAGACACAGGAGGGUUUGAUCUGCAGCCUUGGGAGAAGCUUGGAUUGAUGCAACAUAAAAUACACAGACAUUAAGCAGAAAAAUCAUAAACCUAUGUUUCUACAAUUAAACAGGCAAUUCCACGAUUCAGAUGUUUAAGAUGGGUCAUCUAAAUGGCUUCCAUGAAGGACUUGUUUCUCUCUACUGAUUGGAAAGGGAGUUCAGAGAUCAAGAUCAGUUGCAGCUGUUUGUGGCAUAUCAAAUGAAGACCAAGGCUUAUACACAUCAAUUGCAGUGGGAAGCAUCCUCAAGGAUUUAAAAGUCAGUGAGGUCAAGCUGCAAAGGUUGAAGAAACUUAAGAAGCUCUUGAAAUCACUGUAAAAUUUAUCUCAAAGAGCUCUGGAGUAAAAACAUGGUACCAGAAGGAAAUCUUACUGCCAGUCACUCUACAAAGGCCAAAGACUGAAGGCUGUUGCUGCCCCAAUAUCCUGGUUUAGACCUCAUGGAAUUAUGGCAUCACUAAAGUUAGAGAAGAGCUCCAAGAUUGUUGACUUCAGACAUUAGUCCAACAACUCCAUGUUCACCACUAAACCUCACCCCCAAGCAACACAUUCACACACCUAUUGAACACUUCCAUGAAAGGAAUUUUAGGGGCAGAUUCAGUAGCAAUCACUUUUAUCUCUCCAUCUCAGAAACUUAGAAUAAUUUAUACAAGUAGCAGGCACAGUUAGAUGCUUGUUUACCAAUAACUGCCUCAAGAAUAUCUCUUCUGUAGAUUUAAUUCCAUAACUCUUGAAAAUGGGAGAAGAUGCCCAAAUAUUUAUUUGUAUCUACACAUAUUUGAGUGGAAUAUGCCUGGGUGGGAUUUGUAAUUAACCAAGCUGGAAAUUAACACAAAAUACAUCAAGUUUUUGAAUAGGAUUAGCCCCAGGAAAAGAGAACCCAACAACUGACAGUUACAUAUUGCAUUGUUUUUCAGCAUGGUUCUGUGUUGUGGUUCAAUCCCACCCAGAAACUCAACCCCACACAGCUGCUCAUUCACUCCCCACACGUGGGGUGAGGGUGGGAAUUGGAAGGGUAAAAAUGAGAAAAACUUAAGAUUUGAGAUAAAAACAAUUGAACAACAAUAAAAGAAAAAAUUAGAGAGAGAGAGAGAUAAAACCCAAGAAAGACAAGUGCAACAAAUAAAACCAAAUAUUCACCACCAAGUGACA
This is a long non-coding RNA of Passer domesticus (house sparrow), 1335 nucleotides long. RefSeq lists it as uncharacterized. The record is from RefSeq and is a predicted model, not a curated record. Lineage: Eukaryota; Metazoa; Chordata; Aves; Passeriformes; Passeridae. The transcript is spliced from 5 exons.